Molecule: ribosomal RNA, 1113 nt
Filed under: Oceanobacillus oncorhynchi
Lineage: Bacteria; Bacillati; Bacillota; Bacilli; Caryophanales; Bacillaceae
Description: bacterial SSU rRNA
Rfam family: Bacterial small subunit ribosomal RNA
Source: RNAcentral
CAUGGCGGCAGGCUAUACAUGCGAGUCGAGCGCGGGAAGCGAACGGAACUCUUCGGAGGGAAGUUCGUGGAACGAGCGGCGGACGGGUGAGUAACACGUAGGCAACCUGCCUGUAAGACUGGGAUAACUCGCGGAAACGCGAGCUAAUACCGGAUAACACUUUCUAUCACCUGAUGGAAAGUUGAAAGGCGGCUUUUGCUGUCACUUACAGAUGGGCCUGCGGCGCAUUAGCUAGUUGGUGAGGUAACGGCUCACCAAGGCGACGAUGCGUAGCCGACCUGAGAGGGUGAUCGGCCACACUGGGACUGAGACACGGCCCAGACUCCUACGGGAGGCAGCAGUAGGGAAUCUUCCGCAAUGGACGAAAGUCUGACGGAGCAACGCCGCGUGAGUGAUGAAGGUUUUCGGAUCGUAAAACUCUGUUGUCAGGGAAGAACAAGUACGAUAGUAACUGAUCGUACCUUGACGGUACCUGACCAGAAAGCCACGGCUAACUACGUGCCAGCAGCCGCGGUAAUACGUAGGUGGCAAGCGUUGUCCGGAAUUAUUGGGCGUAAAGCGCUCGCAGGCGGUUCUUUAAGUCUGAUGUGAAAUCUUGCGGCUCAACCGCAAACGUGCAUUGGAAACUGGAGGACUUGAGUGCAGAAGAGGAGAGUGGAAUUCCACGUGUAGCGGUGAAAUGCGUAGAGAUGUGGAGGAACACCAGUGGCGAAGGCGACUCUCUGGUCUGUAACUGACGCUGAGGAGCGAAAGCGUGGGGAGCGAACAGGAUUAGAUACCCUGGUAGUCCACGCCGUAAACGAUGAGUGCUAGGUGUUAGGGGGUUUCCGCCCCUUAGUGCUGAAGUUAACGCAUUAAGCACUCCGCCUGGGGAGUACGGCCGCAAGGCUGAAACUCAAAAGAAUUGACGGGGACCCGCACAAGCGGUGGGAGCAUGUGGUUUAAUUUCGAAGCAACGCGAAGAACCUUUACCAGGUCUUGACAUCCUUUUGACCGCCUCUAGAGAUAGAGUUUUUCCCUUUCGGGGACAAAGUGACAGGUGCUGCAUGGACUGUCGUCAGCUCGUGUCGUGAAGAUGUCGGUAGGUUCCCGCAACGAGCGCAACCAUUAAUC